RNAcentral lists this ribosomal RNA (443 nucleotides) under uncultured bacterium. RNAcentral's name for it is "partial 16S ribosomal RNA". It matches the Rfam family "Bacterial small subunit ribosomal RNA", at positions 338 to 795 of the family's 1533-position model. The record is from RNAcentral.
CCUACGGGAGGCAGCAGUGGUGAAUAUUUGGCAAUGGGCGCAAGCCUGACCCAGCAACGCCGCGUGAAGGAAGCAGGCCCUCGGGUUGUAAACUUCUUUUAUCAGGGACGAAACAAAUGACGGUACCUGAUGAAUAAGCCACGGCUAACUACGUGCCAGCAGCCGCGGUAAUACGUAGGUGGCAAGCGUUAUCCGGAUGUACUGGGUGUAAAGGGCGUGUAGGCGGGAGAGCAAGUCAGACGUGAAAUUCCAGGGCUCAACCCUGGAACUGCGUUUGAAACUGUUAUUGUUGAGUGAUGGCGAGGCAGGCGGAAUUCCGUGUGUAGCGGUGAAAUGCGUAGAUAUACGGAGGAACACCAGUGGCGAAGGCGGCCUGCUGGACAUUAACUGACGCUGAGGCGCGAAAGCGUGGGGAGCAAACAGGAUUAGAUACCCGAGUAGUC